AACAAACGCUGGCGGCGUGUCUUAAGCAUGCAAGUUGAGCGGCAAGGAGGAGAGAUCCUCCCUAGAGCGGCGGACUGGUGAGUAACGCGUGGGUAAUCUAUCGUAGGCAUGGGGAUAGUCACUAGAAAUAGUGGGUAAUACCGAAUACGUUCCAUGAGGGAGUAUUCAUGGAAGAAAGGGUGCUACGGCACUGGCCUUAGGUGAGCUCGCGUCCCAUUAGCUAGUUGGUGAGGUAAAGGCCCACCAAGGCGAUGAUGGGUAGCCGGCCUGAGAGGGUGUACGGCCACACUGGGACUGAGAUACGGCCCAGACUCCUACGGGAGGCAGCAGCUAAGAAUAUUCCGCAAUGGACGAAAGUCUGACGGAGCGACGCCGCGUGGAUGAAGAAGGCCGAAAGGUUGUAAAGUCUUUUGCUAGGGAGAAUAAGUGAGGAGGGAAUGCCCUCAUGAUGACAGGACUAGCGAAUAAGCCCGGCCAACUACGUGCCAGC
RNAcentral lists this ribosomal RNA (490 nucleotides) under uncultured bacterium. RNAcentral describes it as "bacterial SSU rRNA". It matches the Rfam family "Bacterial small subunit ribosomal RNA", at positions 29 to 512 of the family's 1533-position model. The record is from RNAcentral.